AUGAACGCUAGCGACAGGCCUAACACAUGCAAGUCAAGGGGGCAGCACAAGGAGCAAUCUGAGGUGGCGACCGGGCGCACGGGUGAGUAACACGUAUGCAACCUGCCUGUAAGCGGGGAAUAACCCGUUGAAAGACGGACUAAUACCGCAUAAUACUAAAUUACUGCAUUGGUAAUUUAUUUAAACAUUUAUGGCUUACAGAUGGGCAUGCGCAUGAUUAGCUAGUUGGAGAGGUAACGGCUCCCCAAGGCAACGAUCAUUAGGGGUUCUGAGAGGAAGGUCCCCCACACUGGUACUGAGACACGGACCAGACUCCUACGGGAGGCAGCAGUGAGGAAUAUUGGUCAAUGGACGAGAGUCUGAACCAGCCAAGUCGCGUGCAGGAAGAAUGUCCUAAUGGAUUGUAAACUGCUUUUGCAGGGGAAUAAAGUGCAUCACGUGUGAUGUUUUGUUAUGUACUCUGCGAAUAAGGAUCGGCUAACUCCGUGCCAGCAGCCGC
RNAcentral lists this ribosomal RNA (499 nucleotides) under uncultured bacterium. Its description in RNAcentral is "bacterial SSU rRNA". It matches the Rfam family "Bacterial small subunit ribosomal RNA", at positions 29 to 518 of the family's 1533-position model. The record is from RNAcentral.